GACCGCUUGUGCAGCCGCCAUUUCUUCUGACCAUCGACUGUCCACCGGAUUGUAAAACAGCCUGGAGCCAAGCAUCAUCAGACCAUAGAAGAUUGCCAUGGCAAGUUCAAAACCUGCAAGACUGAAGGUGAUUCUAGGAG
Molecule: long non-coding RNA, 140 nt
Organism: Poeciliopsis prolifica (blackstripe livebearer)
Lineage: Eukaryota; Metazoa; Chordata; Actinopteri; Cyprinodontiformes; Poeciliidae
Exons: 3
Source: RefSeq, a predicted model, not a curated record